Asparagus officinalis (garden asparagus) is the source of this 249-nucleotide long non-coding RNA. RefSeq lists it as uncharacterized. The transcript has 3 exons. Lineage: Eukaryota; Viridiplantae; Streptophyta; Magnoliopsida; Asparagales; Asparagaceae. The record is from RefSeq and is a predicted model, not a curated record.
UCUCUCUCUCUCUCUCUCUCUCUUUUAUUUUCUCAAAAACAAAAAAUGUCGAACACUCAGAACCAAUUCAAUGCCGGCCAUGCACGUGGAGUUGGUGCGGCUCAGGCCGACCAGCUAAUGGGUUCAGCUGACAGCCUUCAGGCCCACAGGUCUGGUGCGGCCCAGUCGGCCCAGGAGAGCAAGGAGCAGGCCGCCGGAUUUCUUCAGCAGACUGCGGAGCAAGCGAAGCAGAUGGCGCAGGGCGCGGUG